Molecule: ribosomal RNA, 750 nt
Filed under: Cellulomonas sp. GTYT-10
Lineage: Bacteria; Bacillati; Actinomycetota; Actinomycetes; Micrococcales; Cellulomonadaceae
Description: bacterial SSU rRNA
Rfam family: Bacterial small subunit ribosomal RNA
Source: RNAcentral
GCUUACCAUGCAAGUCGAACGGUGAUGACCAGUUUGCUGGUCUGAUCAGUGGCGAACGGGUGAGUAACACGUGAGCAACCUACCCCAGACUCUGGAAUAACCAUGGGAAACGAUGGCUAAUACCGGAUACGAGGCAUACACGCAUGUGUGGUGUCUGGAAAGAUUUAUCGGUCUGGGAUGGGCUCGCGGCCUAUCAGCUUGUUGGUGGGGUAGUGGCCUACCAAGGCGACGACGGGUAGCCGGCCUGAGAGGGCGACCGGCCACACUGGGACUGAGAUACGGCCCAGACUCCUACGGGAGGCAGCAGUGGGGAAUAUUGCACAAUGGGCGCAAGCCUGAUGCAGCGACGCCGCGUGAGGGAUGACGGCCUUCGGGUUGUAAACCUCUUUCAGCAGGGAAGAAGCGCAAGUGACGGUACCUGCAGAAGAAGCGCCGGCUAACUACGUGCCAGCAGCCGCGGUAAUACGUAGGGCGCAAGCGUUGUCCGGAAUUAUUGGGCGUAAAGAGCUCGUAGGCGGUUUGUCGCGUCUGCUGUGAAAACCUAAGGCUCAACCUUGGGCUUGCAGUGGGUACGGGCAGACUAGAGUGCGGUAGGGGUGACUGGAAUUCCUGGUGUAGCGGUGGAAUGCGCAGAUAUCAGGAGGAACACCGAUGGCGAAGGCAGGUCACUGGGCCGCAACUGACGCUGAGGAGCGAAAGCAUGGGGAGCGAACAGGAUUAGAUACCCUGGUAGUCCAUGCCGUAAACGUU